UGGCGGACGGGUGAGGAAUACAUCGGAAUCUACUCUGUCGUGGGGGAUAACGUAGGGAAACUUACGCUAAUACCGCAUACGACCUACGGGUGAAAGCAGGGGAUCUUCGGACCUUGCGCGAUUGAAUGAGCCGAUGUCGGAUUAGCUAGUUGGCGGGGUAAAGGCCCACCAAGGCGACGAUCCGUAGCUGGUCUGAGAGGAUGAUCAGCCACACUGGAACUGANACACGGUCCAGACUCCUACGGGAGGCAGCAGCC
This 257-nucleotide ribosomal RNA is filed under the name uncultured Stenotrophomonas sp. RNAcentral describes it as "partial 16S ribosomal RNA". It matches the Rfam family "Bacterial small subunit ribosomal RNA", at positions 96 to 355 of the family's 1533-position model. Lineage: Bacteria; Pseudomonadati; Pseudomonadota; Gammaproteobacteria; Lysobacterales; Lysobacteraceae. The record is from RNAcentral.